Molecule: non-coding RNA, 887 nt
Organism: Sesamum indicum (sesame)
Lineage: Eukaryota; Viridiplantae; Streptophyta; Magnoliopsida; Lamiales; Pedaliaceae
Source: RefSeq, a predicted model, not a curated record
CUCACUCAGGCGCAGGCGCGGGUUCGAGCGGGUGAACUACUGCACAAUUCUCGGGACGCCAAUCGGCCUGGCCCGACCCGUUCUUCCCAUACGCUACUGGCAUGAGUUUGCAUGUCGCGAACGUGGUUGAGGUUACGGAGCACUGGAUUUUUCAUAUUCAGACUUAAGCAUAACGACACGAACAAAAUUUUGUGCGACCAAGCUUUCAGCAGCAUUGCCAACUACAAGAUUCUAAGUCUUGUGGCACAUGAUGGAUGUAAUAAGUUCGAUUCUCUGUCAAAGUCAAUAUAGAACUGAACGUUCUGUUGAAAGCAAUGACAACGAAGAAACCCUGUAUAGGAUCUCUUAGUCAUCUUGAAGAGUUUGAUCAGUAACUCUAAGAAAACUAUUCCUGCUUCUUAGUAUGAGCUCCAAGUUUUGUCUUCAUUGAGUUCACGAUGUGACUGGACAGCAUUUGAUAUUUGUUAUGUUGGAGUAAAUGCAGCCAAGGGAAAAUGCUUCUUGCCUCACUUGGAUGCUCAUUUGGGUCUACACGGUAGCCCUUCGUUGCUGAUCCACAGAAUGGCACAAAUUGACCGAUCCUUGUAAUGGUUCUUUCUUUGAUGUCAUGUAUAUUUCCUGGGAUUAGGUUUACGUGAACAUACUGAAUCAAGUCCCACUUGGAGACGAUCUUUUAGCAUAACGUAGAAUUUACACAAACUAGUAAUCAAUGUAAAGUUCUGUAACGUUCUUGAGAGCUAAUCUUCGAGCAUAUUUUAGAAUUCAGAACUCUUCCAAUUAUAUGCACAUGCUCUUUGUCGCGUUACCUGCUUAUUAUCCGCCUCCUUUUGAGGAACGGUUGAGUUGCUUGUAAAAAGUUGCCGAGCAGGGCAUUGAAAACAUCAAUC